This 400-nucleotide ribosomal RNA is filed under the name uncultured microorganism. RNAcentral describes it as "bacterial SSU rRNA". It matches the Rfam family "Bacterial small subunit ribosomal RNA", at positions 9 to 402 of the family's 1533-position model. The record is from RNAcentral.
GAGUUUGAUCGUGGCUCAGGAUGAACGUUAGCGGCGUGCCUAACACAUGCAAGUCGAACGAACAGCCAGCAUCUUAGGAAUCUGGCGGGUUAGUGGCGCACGGGUGAGUAACACGUAGGUGACCUGCCCCGAAGUGGGGGGACAACCACUGGAAACAGUGGCUAAUACCGCAUGUGCUUAGCCAUUCGGUUGGUUAAGUAAAGCUGAGGCGCUUCGGGAGGGGCCUGCGGUCGAUUAGCUAGUUGGUGAGGUAAUGGCUCACCAAGGCGAUGAUCGAUAGGGGGCGUGAGAGCGUGACCCCCCACACUGGGACGUGAGACACGGCCCACGACUCCUACGGGAGGGCAGCAGUGAGGAAUAUUGCACAAUGGGCGGCAAGCCUGAUGCAGCAACGCCGCGU